Ananas comosus (pineapple) is the source of this 355-nucleotide long non-coding RNA. RefSeq lists it as uncharacterized. The transcript has 3 exons. Lineage: Eukaryota; Viridiplantae; Streptophyta; Magnoliopsida; Poales; Bromeliaceae. The record is from RefSeq and is a predicted model, not a curated record.
GGAGAAGGGUAAGGGAGCCCUCCACACUCUUCCUUUCCCUUUACUUGAUAUUGCUUGGAUUUUUAUGAGAUUAAGCCCUCCUUUGCUUGAUUAGAGACUUCCUCACCUCGGUUGAAGCUUGGAGCUUGAGUUUGGAGCAAAGUUGAGGGAAGAUCCUUGAAGUUUGAGAGUUUAGAGCUUGGAUUGAAGCUUCUAAGAGGGCUUUUGGAGCGUGAUUGAUUGGAUUAGAACCUUCCUCUAGGAUAGAUUGGAAGGGUUCUAGCCCUCCUUUGGAGCUUAAGAGAGGAUUUUUACUCUUGAGGGUAUUUUGAGACGCGGGGACAACUUUGUUCGGCGAAACGAGGCACUACGCGAC